GCCGGGGUGCCUGAGUGGUUAAAGGGCUGGCCUCGAGAGCCAGUGGGCCUUUGUAGGCCCUUAUGGGUUCGAAUCCCAUCCCCGGCG
This 87-nucleotide transfer RNA is filed under the name Nitrososphaerota archaeon. RNAcentral describes it as "tRNA-Ser". It matches the Rfam family "tRNA". From Rfam's summary of the family: Transfer RNA (tRNA) molecules are approximately 80 nucleotides in length. Lineage: Archaea; Thermoproteati; Nitrososphaerota. The record is from RNAcentral.